ACUAAACUAAUCAACUCAGCC
Molecule: microRNA, 21 nt
Filed under: Picea abies (Norway spruce)
Lineage: Eukaryota; Viridiplantae; Streptophyta; Pinopsida; Pinales; Pinaceae
Description: pab-miR11420a
Source: miRBase by way of RNAcentral